CAGCAGCCGCGGUAAUACGUAGGGCGCAAGCGUUGUCCGGAAUUAUUGGGCGUAAAGAGCUCGUAGGCGGUCUGUCGCGUCUGGUGUGGAAUCCCGAGGCUCAACCUCGGGCUUGCAUCGGGUACGGGCAGACUAGAGUGCGGUAGGGGAGACUGGAAUUCCUGGUGUAGCGGUGGAAUGCGCAGAUAUCAGGAGGAACACCGAUGGCGAAGGCAGGUCUCUGGGCCGCAACUGACGCUGAGGAGCGAAAGCAUGGGGAGCGAACAGGAUUAGAUACCCGUGUAGUCCCUGUCUCUUAUAC
This 301-nucleotide ribosomal RNA is filed under the name uncultured bacterium. RNAcentral describes it as "partial 16S ribosomal RNA". It matches the Rfam family "Bacterial small subunit ribosomal RNA", at positions 509 to 807 of the family's 1533-position model. The record is from RNAcentral.